This 492-nucleotide ribosomal RNA is filed under the name uncultured bacterium. Its description in RNAcentral is "partial 16S ribosomal RNA". It matches the Rfam family "Bacterial small subunit ribosomal RNA", at positions 29 to 507 of the family's 1533-position model. The record is from RNAcentral.
AGUGAACGCUGGCGGUAGGCCUAACACAUGCAAGUCGAACGGCAGCACAGUAAGAGCUUGCUCUUACGGGUGGCGAGUGGCGGACGGGUGAGGAAUACAUCGGAAUCUACUUUUUCGUGGGGGAUAACGUAGGGAAACUUACGCUAAUACCGCAUACGACCUACGGGUGAAAGCAGGGGAUCUUCGGACCUUGCGCGAUUGAAUGAGCCGAUGUCGGAUUAGCUAGUUGGCGGGGUAAAGGCCCACCAAGGCGACGAUCCGUAGCUGGUCUGAGAGGAUGAUCAGACACACUGGAACUGGGACACGGUCCAGACUCCUACGGGAGGCAGGAGUGGGGAAUAUUGGACAAUGGGCGCAAGCCUGAUCCAGCCAUACCGCGUGGGUGAAGAAGGCCUUCGGGUUGUAAAGCCCUUUUGUUGGGAAAGAAAAGCAGCAGGUUAAUACCCCGCUGUUCUGACGGUACCCAAAGAAUAAGCACCGGCUAACUUCGUG